Molecule: long non-coding RNA, 820 nt
Filed under: Nicotiana benthamiana
Lineage: Eukaryota; Viridiplantae; Streptophyta; Magnoliopsida; Solanales; Solanaceae
Description: long non-coding RNA (NBEN_LNC010851)
Source: RNAcentral
UUAGAAUUCAAAACUCUAAAUUUCUAAAAAAAAUUCUGUGUAUAACAGCCCCUUUCAGUAGAACUGUAAACUGUUAUACUGGGAACAUCAUUGACGGAAUUCACUUUUUCAUCAGAUGAUAUCUCUUUUUAUUUUUUCUGAUGAAUUCUUUGUUCAAGGUAAGCUUAUAGCAUCACCAACUAACUGCAACCUCCUUAUGUUUGUAAAUUUCCUGUGUAAUUGGGUGUAAAACCACUUUGAUUUAGUGUUAUUCUGCUUCUUGUAGUGUGCAUAGUUUGAGGGGAGUCAUUUUUUCAUGGAAAAUGUUUUCUAGCAUUUGUUAGAUAUGAAAGGGAUUAUGAUGAUACUUCUACUUCUUUCUUUUCCGUGCUUAAUCAAUGUGCACGAAAACCACCUCUAUCCGUGAUUAUACUUCUACUUCUUUCUUUUCCGUGCUUAAUCAAUGUGCACGAAAACCACCUCUAUCCAUAUUUUGACUUGGCAUCCAAUAUGGCUUGUGAUUGAGAAUCUUCUCUUGCAAAUAACCAUCGUUUUGCAGCCAUGGCAUGGCUUUUAUCUCUUUGCCUGAUGAUAACAUAGAACUGAUUCUCAAUGUUAAGAAUAUAUAAUAUGAAAUAAUAAGACAACCGGAUUAUAUUUAAAAUGUCUAUGAUAAUAAGAUAUAACCUUUAUUAAAAAGUACGCCUAUAUGAUAACAAAAAAUUUCUUAGGAAUGAUAAUGUACUCACUUAUAGUUAUUAAAUGACAUUUGAGAUUUUGCCUUCAUAGCCUCACCUUUCAUCCUCUCUGAUCCUCUUUCUUGUUUUUUUUCUUUUUUUUU